CGCCUGGGGAGUACGGCCGCAAGGCUAAAACUCAAAGGAAUUGACGGGGCCCCGCACAAGCGGCGGAGCAUGCGGAUUAAUUCGAUGCAACGCGUAGAACCUUACCUGGGUUUGACAUGGAUCGGGAGUGCUCAGAGAUGGGUGUGCCUCUUUUGGGGUCGGUUCACAGGUGGUGCAUGGCUGUCGUCAGCUCGUGUUGUGAGAUGUUGGGUUAAGUCCCGCAACGAGCGCAACCCUUGUUCACUGUUGCCAGCACGUUAUGGUGGGGACUCAGUGGAGACCGCCGGGGUCAACUCGGAGGAAGGUGGGGAUGACGUCAAGUCAUCAUGCCCCUUAUGUCCAGGGCUUCACGCAUGCUGCAAUGGCUGGUACAGAGAGUGGCGAGCCUGUGAGGGUGAGCGAAUCUCGGAAAGCCGGUCUCAGUUCGGAUUGGGGUCUGCAACUCGACCUCAUGAAGUCGGAGUCGCUAGUAAUCGCAGAUCAGCAACGCUGCGGUGAAUACGUUCCCGGGGCUUGUACACACCGCCCGUCAAGUCAUGAAAGUUGGUAACACCCGAAGCCGGUGGCCUAACCGUUGUGGGGGAGCCGUCGAAGUGGGACUGGUGAUUAGGACUAAGUCGUAACAAGGUAACCGUA
RNAcentral lists this ribosomal RNA (636 nucleotides) under uncultured Propionibacterium sp. RNAcentral's name for it is "bacterial SSU rRNA". It matches the Rfam family "Bacterial small subunit ribosomal RNA", at positions 870 to 1504 of the family's 1533-position model. The record is from RNAcentral. Lineage: Bacteria; Bacillati; Actinomycetota; Actinomycetes; Propionibacteriales; Propionibacteriaceae.